UACAGAGGCCUCAAGCGUUGUUCGGAAUUACUGGGCGUAAAGGGUGUGUAGGUGGUGAUGCAAGUCAGAUGUGAAAGCCCUGGGCUUAACCCGGGAACUGCAUUUGAUACUGCAUUGCUAGAGUGCGGAAGAGGAGAGCGGAAUUCCUAGUGUAGGAGUGAAAUCCGUAGAUAUUAGGAGGAAUACCGAUGGCGAAGGCAGCUCUCUGGUCCGUAACUGACACUGAGACACGAAAGCGUGGGUAGCAAACAGGAUUAGAUACCCUAGU
This 268-nucleotide ribosomal RNA is filed under the name uncultured bacterium. Its description in RNAcentral is "partial 16S ribosomal RNA". It matches the Rfam family "Bacterial small subunit ribosomal RNA", at positions 524 to 791 of the family's 1533-position model. The record is from RNAcentral.